AUCGCUUCUCGGCCUUUUGGCUAAGAUCAAGUGUAGUAUCUGUUCUUAUCAGUUUAAUAUCUGAUACGUCCCCUAUCCGGGGGGGGACUUUACAGUGUUUUGUCAUGGCAACCGGACAAGCUUUU
This is a small nuclear RNA of Betta splendens (Siamese fighting fish), 125 nucleotides long. Its record names the gene U2. It matches the Rfam family "U2 spliceosomal RNA". Rfam says of the family: U2 is a small nuclear RNA (snRNA) component of the spliceosome (involved in pre-mRNA splicing). The record is from Ensembl. NCBI's taxonomy places the organism in Eukaryota, Metazoa, Chordata, Actinopteri, Anabantiformes, Osphronemidae.